AUCCGGCUGACGAGUCCCAAAUAGGACGAAACUUCCCUCCCAGAU
This 45-nucleotide non-coding RNA is filed under the name Schistosoma mansoni. Lineage: Eukaryota; Metazoa; Platyhelminthes; Trematoda; Strigeidida; Schistosomatidae. The record is from RNAcentral.